Molecule: long non-coding RNA, 232 nt
Filed under: Pongo abelii (Sumatran orangutan)
Lineage: Eukaryota; Metazoa; Chordata; Mammalia; Primates; Hominidae
Description: lincRNA
Source: RNAcentral
GAUGUGAUGUAACAAGAGGAGCAACAAAAGAAGAAUCCCAAGAUAAUCACGUAAUUAUGUUAGGAGAGAUUCUCAGUUUGAUCUAAUCCUGUCUAAACAGGCUGAAAGAAGUUAGUCACUCAGAAUUAUAUAAAAGGCUCCAUGGAGGCUUGCAAUGAUAAACAACAGACCCUGGAGUUUGGGGACAACACCAAGGUACUGCCAUACUUGAGGAAGAGAUGGCUUUUCUCAG